RNAcentral lists this ribosomal RNA (463 nucleotides) under uncultured bacterium. RNAcentral describes it as "partial 16S ribosomal RNA". It matches the Rfam family "Bacterial small subunit ribosomal RNA", at positions 28 to 507 of the family's 1533-position model. The record is from RNAcentral.
GACGAACGCUGGCGGCGUGCUUAACACAUGCAAGUCGAACGGAAAGGCCUUUUCGGAGGUACUCGAGUGGCGAACGGGUGAGUAACACGUGGGUGAUCUGCCCUGCACUCUGGGAUAAGCCUGGGAAACUGGGUCUAAUACCGGAUAGGACCGCACUUUAGUGUGUGUGGUGGAAAGUUUUUUCGGUGUAGGAUGAGCCCGCGGCCUAUCAGCUUGUUGGUGGGGUAAUGGCCUACCAAGGCGGCGACGGGUAGCCGGACUGAGAGGUUGGUCGGCCACAUUGGGACUGAGAUACGGCCCAGACUCCUACGGGAGGCAGCAGUGGGGAAUAUUGCACAAUGGGCGCAAGCCUGAUGCAGCGACGCCGCGCGGGGGAUGACGGCCUUCGGGUUGUAAACUCCUUUCGCCAGGGACGAAGCGUUUUGUGACGGUACCUGGAGAAGAAGCACCGGCUAACUACGUG